UAGCCUUAUCAAAAUUAUAGAUGGCAUCCAAUAUAUUAACCAAAUACCAAACCAUUUAAAAUCUAGGGAAAUUAUUGAGUAGUCCGAGACUACGAGGUCAGCUUGCUGAUCUUGUUGUCCUAGCCAAUAGAAAAAAACCACAUCAUUAAACAUAGCUGAGAUCAGCUUACUUGCCACAUCUUCUCAACACAGCUCCACACUUAACAGCCAUUGGCCCCGCUGCGUUAACCCUCUGUGCAAAUUCAAAUUUUAAUUUGAAAAUUGGGCGGGUUGGUGAAGGUAAAACUAAAAACUGAAGAAGCUUUUCAUUUUCCUCAAUCUUUUAUCUCUUUCUGUUCAGCAUCACCACCAUUGCAACGUUGGCAACAUUUCUGCACUUGCAAGGGGUUUUGGGUUCAUGUUAGUGUGGUGCUGACAGACUCAUUCAGAGUAAGCCUAUUCUCCAUGCCUAUUAGUGUUUUGUAUUGGGUGCAAGUUGUAAUUAUGAGUGUUUAGGAGGAAAAUUUUAGUUUGGAAGCGUUUUGUGUUGGGUGCAAGUUGUAAUUAUGAGUGGCUAGGAGGAAAAUUUUAGUUUGGAAGCAAAAGAGGCAUAUGGGUAGCUCUCUAAUUAGGUGGAAGGAAGGCCUUUUAUAAAGAAGAAAAUUAAUUUCUAGCAUGGCAUAAGGACAUCACGACCUGGGUCCUGGGUGCAGAGUUGCUAUUGCUCUAGGCCACCUUUCGGCAUAUUUUGAAUUAUGUUCCCUAGCUAUAAUGCUUAAGUGUGAACUAUUGUUC
Quercus robur (English oak) is the source of this 774-nucleotide long non-coding RNA. RefSeq lists it as uncharacterized. The transcript has 3 exons. The record is from RefSeq and is a predicted model, not a curated record. NCBI's taxonomy places the organism in Eukaryota, Viridiplantae, Streptophyta, Magnoliopsida, Fagales, Fagaceae.